Molecule: ribosomal RNA, 253 nt
Filed under: uncultured bacterium
Lineage: Bacteria
Description: partial 16S ribosomal RNA
Rfam family: Bacterial small subunit ribosomal RNA
Source: RNAcentral
GAGGGAGGGUGCAAGCGGUGUUCGGAAUUACUGGGCGUAAAGCGCGUGUAGGCGGCUUGCUAAGUCUGAUGUGAAAGCCCGGGGCUCACCCCCGGAAGUGCAUUGGAAACUGGCGAGCUCGAGUCCCGGAGAGGAGGGUGGAAUUCCUGGUGUAGCGGUGAAAUGCGUAGAUAUCAGGAGGAACCCCGGUGGCGAAGGCGGCCCUCUGGACGGUGACUGACGCUGAGACGCGAAAGCGUGGGGAGCAAACAGG